This 171-nucleotide unclassified non-coding RNA is filed under the name soil metagenome. RNAcentral's name for it is "partial internal transcribed spacer 1". The record is from RNAcentral.
CAGAGUUGCAAAACUCCCAACCAUUGUGAGCCUACCUCACCGUUGCUUCGGCGGGUGGCCCGGGGCAACCCAGGCCGCGCCGGCCCCUCUCUUCGGGGGGCCCGGCAAGCCCGUCAGAGGACCGAAACCCUGUAAUUACUGGCCUCUCUGAGUAACUUAUACAAUAAGUCA